Molecule: ribosomal RNA, 496 nt
Filed under: uncultured bacterium
Lineage: Bacteria
Description: partial 16S ribosomal RNA
Rfam family: Bacterial small subunit ribosomal RNA
Source: RNAcentral
AUGAACGCUGGCGGCGUGCCUAAUACAUGCAAGUCGAGCGAACAGACGAGGAGCUUGCUCCUCUGACGUUAGCGGCGGACGGGUGAGUAACACGUGGAUAACCUACCUAUAAGACUGGGAUAACUUCAGGAAACCGGAGCUAAUACCGGAUAAUAUAUUGAACCGCAUGGUUCAAUAGUGAAAGACGGUUUUGCUGUCACUUAUAGAUGGAUCCGCGCCGCAUUAGCUAGUUGGUAAGGUAACGGCUUACCAAGGCGACGAUGCGUAGCCGACCUGAGAGGGUGAUCGGCCACACUGGAACUGAGACACGGUCCAGACUCCUACGGGAGGCAGCAGUAGGGAAUCUUCCGCAAUGGGCGAAAGCUUGACGGAGCAACGCCGCGUGAGUGAUGAAGGUCUUCGGAUCGUAAAACUCUGUUAUUAGGGAAGAACAAAUGUGUAAGUAACUAUGCACGUCUUGACGGUACCUAAUCAGAAAGCCACGGCUAACUACGUG